RNAcentral lists this long non-coding RNA (893 nucleotides) under Equus caballus (horse). Its description in RNAcentral is "lncRNA (ENSECAG00000058059.1)". The record is from RNAcentral. Lineage: Eukaryota; Metazoa; Chordata; Mammalia; Perissodactyla; Equidae.
CUUGCUUUCCAUUUAAUUCUAAUCCAAGAGUAAUAACAUUUUAGAAUAUGUACACACAGACACACACACACACACACAGCCCCCUACCUAGGUCAUAGUAUCAGAGCAUUUAAAAGCUGUAAGGACGUUUGGAGCACAUUUCGUCUAACUCCAGCCUCAAGUUAGCAGACAUAGAACUGGACUCACAAAAGGCCAUGCAAGAUGUUAUUGAAGAGCUGGCAUGAAGAGGGAGCAACUAUACUUCUUCAUUCACACUCAACCUAAAUGAAGAGAUCGUGGAUAAGACUCACUUCAUCUUGAUUUUAAUUCAGGGCCUCACCGAGAAUAUUCUGUGAGCCUGGAAGAAAGAAACUUGUAUUCUGUCUUCCUUUUCUACUUGUGAGCCUCUUUGAUUGAAGCUUCCCUUACUGAUGUCAUCAGAUCAGCUCCAGUUAAACAUUUGACAGGUCCAUCUGUGUCCACAGUCACCCACAAACAUGGGAAGCUGCCACCCAUCUGCCUCCCUAUGCUCUCGCUUUGUUCGUGCCCUGGUUAUUUUGUUCUCAUGUAGCCACUGGGGGUAUUAAUGCCCUCCUCCCUCCAAAAAUGUCAAGAAAUGUGGAUUCUAUGCUAGUUUGUGCUCCUGAGAGAAGGAUGUUAUAGAAGUGGCAUAUGUCAUUAUACUGUUAUUCACACGUAUUCCACAAAUUCUCUAGCAACAUCCUCACAUCUCAAUGAACAUGUUGCUUAGCUUCCUGACCUGGCUUCACUAUUAAUCAUUUUAAUAAUUAAGUAUGACUCACCAAUUAUUCUUCACUUUUCCCAAAUGGAUUGGUUUCUCUUAGUGACAGAAAGUGUUAUAAAUUUGGAGACACUUUUUAGAUUCAAUUGCUUUCUGUUCCGUUGCCUGCCCU